This 1268-nucleotide long non-coding RNA is filed under the name Homo sapiens (human). Its description in RNAcentral is "HSALNT0354247". The record is from RNAcentral. Lineage: Eukaryota; Metazoa; Chordata; Mammalia; Primates; Hominidae.
CCCGCCUCAGCCUCCCAAAGUGCCGGGAUUACAGGGAGUGGCAAAUCAAAGGCAUUGCAGCCUCUUUCAUCACUGCCGAUUGCUGAUGCCAACCAUGUGCCAAGUGCUUAAUACGUCACCUUAAAUCUUCUCAUCCACCCUCAGAGUAGCUGCAGCAUCAACCCAGUGCCCUGACUUUCAAGACGACUAUGAAAACACCCCAACUGCUGCUAAAUUACCAGCAACAAGGAUCUGACAUUCUUAUUCAAAAGAAAGAACACCGAAAUUGACCUUACCCUGACAAUAUGAUGGCUGAAGGAUUUAUGAUCACUUAUAACAUUUGAAAUUGAGGCGGAACCUGAAGAAUAAGACUCUGGUGAAAGGUCCUAUUUAUGCUUUUGAUGUCUUUCACUUGGACAUUUACCACAUGCCUAUUGGUAGGUUUGUUACAUAGGUCAGUUAAGGUGAUACAAGAAUAAAUAAAACACUAUCCCUAUCCUUUAAUAUCAUUUAUUUAUGGGGUCAAUCACAGAUUUUCAUUUUUCAAAAUCUUUGAUAAAUGUCAGAAUUAUGUUUUUUAAUAUUUUUACAGAAUUAUUACAAUAUAUGGUAGAGGAUGGAAGGCAAGGUAGUAUGAAACGGAAAAGAUAUUUUGAAUUAAGGUAUUUGGACCUGGAUUAAUAUUUUUGCUUUGGUCUUUAUUAGCUGAGUGACCUUGAGAAAGUUCUUCUACUAAAAAAGAACAAAGAUAAUAAUUACUUCAUGAAAUUGCUGUAAAAAACACAUAACAAGUAUAUCCAGACUCAACAGUGUAUGCUCAAAAAUGCAGAUCCUUUUUCCCUUACCUGCAAAUAAAGUCUUACAGUAAUACAGUGGGGGUAAAGGUUUAAACUGGUGGAUUCAAGAAGGGCUAUAGAAAGAGGUAGCAUCUUAAUAGGGGAAGGAGAGGAUCCAAGAAAUCAGAUCCAUUUUCUACAAAAAGAAAUGGGAAGACAGAUAAUUCAAGAAGAAAAGUUUACAUGAUUAAAGACCCGAAGUUAGAAAUAGUGAUGUGUCUCAAUAGUAAGUUAGGAAUUGGGGUGGACACAAUUGUUGGAAGAAGGAUGGUUUCAGCAAAGGCCCAAGUUAGGUGACAAUUUCAAGUGUUUGUGAAGAUAUAUGAACAAAAUUAUAAAGUAGUUAGGGUAUAAGAAAUAGGGAGGAGGGAAUGAAUUAACAUUUAUGGAGUGUCUUGCAUGUUCCAAGCACUGUACUACUUGCCUUAUAAACCUUUCUUCAAUAAACGCCUA